UUUAUGUACAUGAAGAUUUUGCAAAAGAAUUUUUGUAGUCAAUUUUUAAUAUUAACUCGGUAGUAAGUUUUUUAACAUUUUUAACUUUUAUUUUGUAAAUAUGAUUUUUUUUUUGUAAAAGAGGUUCGAUAGUCAAUUUUUUUAUAUUUUAUUUAUUUAUUUUUUAACCUUUAAUAAAUUAUUUAUAUAAGGGUGUUUUGAUAAUAAAAAAAUGUCAUAUGCUAAUUUAGGCCUCAA
Molecule: long non-coding RNA, 237 nt
Filed under: Lathyrus oleraceus (garden pea)
Lineage: Eukaryota; Viridiplantae; Streptophyta; Magnoliopsida; Fabales; Fabaceae
Description: Pisum sativum (pea) long non-coding RNA (PSAT_LNC027825)
Source: RNAcentral